GGAGGUAGUGACAAUAAAUCUCAAUACGAAGCCUUUGGUUUUGUAAUUGAAUUGAGAACAAUGUACAAUCGUUAUCGAUAAACAAUUGGAGGGCAAGUCUGGUGCCAGCAGCCGCGGUAAUUCCAGCUCCAAUAGCGUAUAUUAACGUUGUUGCAGUUAAAAAGCUCGUAGUUGAAGUUUAGAUAAUUUAUUGAAAGUGUUUGUAUUCGUACAUUCUACUUUUAUGUAAGUUAUCGACAUCCAGGUGGGUAUCAUAAUCUCGCAAGGGGUCGUGGUACUAGACUGGUCAUUUACUGUGAGAAAAUUAGAGUGUUUAAAGCAGACUUUCUAAAUAGUUUGAAUAGAUUAGCAUGGAAUAAUAAGAUUGGCUUUCAUAGUCGAUUUUUUGGUUUGUUUAUGAAAGCAAGAUUAAUAGGGACAGUUGGGGGUAUUCAUAUUCAAUAGCUAGAGGUGAAAUUCUAUGAUUUAUGGAAGAUGAACAAGUGCGAAAGCA
Molecule: ribosomal RNA, 493 nt
Filed under: Blastocystis sp.
Lineage: Eukaryota; Bigyra; Opalinata; Blastocystidae
Description: SSU rRNA
Rfam family: Eukaryotic small subunit ribosomal RNA
Source: RNAcentral